Molecule: ribosomal RNA, 253 nt
Filed under: uncultured bacterium
Lineage: Bacteria
Description: partial 16S ribosomal RNA
Rfam family: Bacterial small subunit ribosomal RNA
Source: RNAcentral
UACGUAUGGAGCAAGCGUUAUCCGGAUUUACUGGGUGUAAAGGGAGCGCAGGCGGCUUUGUAAGUCUGAUGUGAAAGGCCGGGGCUCAACCCCGGGACUGCAUUGGAAACUGUAAAGCUAGAGUGCCGGAGAGGUAAGCGGAAUUCCUAGUGUAGCGGUGAAAUGCGUAGAUAUUAGGAGGAACACCAGUGGCGAAGGCGGCUUACUGGACGGCAACUGACGCUGAGGCUCGAAAGCGUGGGGAGCAAACAGG